RNAcentral lists this ribosomal RNA (547 nucleotides) under uncultured bacterium. RNAcentral describes it as "bacterial SSU rRNA". It matches the Rfam family "Bacterial small subunit ribosomal RNA", at positions 355 to 896 of the family's 1533-position model. The record is from RNAcentral.
UGGAGAAUAUUGCGCAAUGGGGGGAACCCUGACGCAGCCAUGCCGCGUGAAUGAAGAAGGCCUUAGGGUUGUAAAGUUCUUUCGGUAUUGAGGAAGGUUGAUGUGUUAAUAGCACAUCAAAUUGACGUUAAAUACAGAAGAAGCACCGGCUAACUCCGUGCCAGCAGCCGCGGUAAUACGGAGGGUGCGAGCGUUAAUCGGAAUAACUGGGCGUAAAGGGCACGCAGGCGGUUAUUUAAGUGAGGUGUGAAAGCCCUGGGCUUAACCUAGGAAUUGCAUUUCAGACUGGGUAACUAGAGUACUUUAGGGAGGGGUAGAAUUCCACGUGUAGCGGUGAAAUGCGUAGAGAUGUGGAGGAAUACCGAAGGCGAAGGCAGCCCCUUGGGAAUGUACUGACGCUCAUGUGCGAAAGCGUGGGGAGCAAACAGGAUUAGAUACCCUGGUAGUCCACGCUGUAAACGCUGUCGAUUUGGGGGUUGGGGUUUAACUCUGGCGCCCGUAGCUAACGUGAUAAAUCGACCGCCUGGGGAGUACGGCCGCAAGGUUA